GACGCAAAGACUUUAAUCCAAAUAUUUACUCCCAGCUUAACUCAAUUUGAAUAUAAGCCGUAACUUUCUCGGGUCAUCAAAUUAGACUUUAAAAUGGCAUCCCUAAGUGCAUUACUUGUACUCACAAUCGUACUAGUUUACUCGAAAUCUGUUAUUUCUCUUCAGUGUUACACUUGUGACGGUCCACUCAAUUCCGAAUGUGCCACUUUGAAUCACAUUCCCCCCACCCCUUGUCUCAAUGAAAAGGUUUGUGCGCGAUUCAUUCUCAAAAAAUCUGAAACUGAGAUUUUAUAUCGUUCCUGCGCUCCGCUAAAUUACUGCAGUGUUUUAGCAGCACAAUAUAAGGAUAAUCCACAGGUUUCCGUAAAGGAGUGCAAAGUUUGUGAUCAAGAUGAGUGUAAUUCAGCAGAAAGGAGUUUUCUACCAGUUUGGUUAAGUCUAUUAACAGGCUUGAGCUUGUUUGUUGUACAGUAAAGACUAAAAUACGAAAAAUAAAUAAAUAAAAAAAUUAACUAAA
Molecule: RNA transcript, 517 nt
Organism: Tribolium castaneum (red flour beetle)
Lineage: Eukaryota; Metazoa; Arthropoda; Insecta; Coleoptera; Tenebrionidae
Exons: 3
Source: RefSeq, a predicted model, not a curated record